RNAcentral lists this ribosomal RNA (100 nucleotides) under Jaculus jaculus (lesser Egyptian jerboa). The record is from RNAcentral. Lineage: Eukaryota; Metazoa; Chordata; Mammalia; Rodentia; Dipodidae.
GUUUAUGGCCUUACCACCCUGAAUGUGCCCAAUCUCAGAAGCUAAGCAGGAUGGGGCCUGGUUAAUACUUGGAAGGGAGAAAACACAGAAGAAGUAGAUA